RNAcentral lists this ribosomal RNA (462 nucleotides) under uncultured bacterium. RNAcentral describes it as "partial 16S ribosomal RNA". It matches the Rfam family "Bacterial small subunit ribosomal RNA", at positions 28 to 507 of the family's 1533-position model. The record is from RNAcentral.
GACGAACGCUGGCGGCGUGCUUAACACAUGCAAGUCGAGCGGAAAGGCCCUUCGGGGUACUCGAGCGGCGAACGGGUGAGUAACACGUGAGUAACCUGCCCCAGACUUUGGGAUAACCCUCGGAAACGGGGGCUAAUACCGGAUACGACACAGCUUCGCAUGGGGUCUGUGUGGAAAGUUUUUCGGUUUGGGAUGGGCUCGCGGCCUAUCAGCUUGUUGGUGGGGUGAUGGCCUACCAAGGCGACGACGGGUAGCCGGCCUGAGAGGGUGACCGGCCACACUGGGACUGAGACACGGCCCAGACUCCUACGGGAGGCAGCAGUGGGGAAUAUUGCACAAUGGGCGGAAGCCUGAUGCAGCGACGCCGCGUGAGGGAUGACGGCCUUCGGGUUGUAAACCUCUUUCAGCAGGGACGAAGCGUAAGUGACGGUACCUGCAGAAGAAGCGCCGGCCAACUACGUG